Molecule: ribosomal RNA, 468 nt
Filed under: uncultured bacterium
Lineage: Bacteria
Description: partial 16S ribosomal RNA
Rfam family: Bacterial small subunit ribosomal RNA
Source: RNAcentral
GACGAACGCUGGCGGCGUGCUUAACACAUGCAAGUCGAACGGAAAGGCCCUGCUUUUGUGGGGUGCUCGAGUGGCGAACGGGUGAGUAACACGUGAGUAACCUGCCCUUGACUUUGGGAUAACUUCAGGAAACUGGGGCUAAUACCGGAUAGGAGCUCCUGCUGCAUGGUGGGGGUUGGAAAGUUUCGGCGGUUGGGGAUGGACUCGCGGCUUAUCAGCUUGUUGGUGGGGUAGUGGCUUACCAAGGCUUUGACGGGUAGCCGGCCUGAGAGGGUGACCGGCCGCAUUGGGACUGAGAUACGGCCCAGACUCCUACGGGAGGCAGCAGUGGGGAAUAUCGCACAAUGGGCGGAAGCCUGAUGCAGCAACGCCGCGUGCGGGAUGACGGCCUUCGGGUUGUAAACCGCUUUCGCCUGUGACGAAGCGUGAGUGACGGUAAUGGGUAAAGAAGCACCGGCUAACUACGUG